RNAcentral lists this long non-coding RNA (1466 nucleotides) under Phoenix dactylifera (date palm). Its description in RNAcentral is "long non-coding RNA (PDAC_LNC011829)". The record is from RNAcentral. Lineage: Eukaryota; Viridiplantae; Streptophyta; Magnoliopsida; Arecales; Arecaceae.
UCAGAUUUUCUGAGUUCAUCUUUUUAUUUUUUAUUUUUGAAAUUUUCUGCUUUCUUCUCACCUAGACAAAUUGUAGCUUAUUUUCGGACCUGCAACCAUGCCGGUUAGAGCAUUUUGCUGAUCAAAAGAAAAAAAAUGGUUCUAGGUGUCUUGUUUUAGUUGCAAUCCAAGCCACCUGUAUGCCUGCAGUGCAUUUUAUUACAUGGUAAUCUCAUUAAAAUGAUGAUACCUCCUGGUUUUAGAGGUGAGGAGUCAUGGGUUUGCUAAUAAAGAUAUUUUGUUGAUGUGCUAGGGCAAGCUGAUGAGAAUCUGUUUAAAAAGUGAUCAAAUAAAUUUUGAGGGUUCUCUGUUUGUUCUACCUCUCUAUCUCUCUUUUUUCCUUCCCUGAGUGCAUGUACCUUCAGAAGAUUGGUAGUCAGAUAUGUACCUUGUUCUUGACUAGCAUUCACAUUAUUUUUUCAAAUUACAUUUGGAUUAUAUUCCUCGCCAUUUCUACCAGCUUGUUUCCUGUUUUUGAUGCACUGCUACUAUCUAUUGUUACUUGAAUGUCCAUUGUUACUUUUUUGAUGAGUCUGAGACUGGAGCCACUCUAUUUAAAUGCAAGGAUGGACAGAGAGAGGGUAGAGAAGUGGAAGAAGAGAUGAAGGCCUUCUCCAAACUUGCUUACUUUUUGACUGGCACUUCUACUGCUGCACUCAUGGCCAUUUCCUCUGGAUAUCUCGAAGGUCAAACAGGACAUGCCCAUACAGUCGCUCUCAAGGUCUGCACCAUCUUCAUGGUGGUCACCUUCUUAACUGGUUGCAGAAUGCUGUUUCUAAUACUCAGUCGUAGCAGCCACAUCUCUAUUAAAUCCUUCAAAAGCCUCAAGUGGACAGGAUUGUUGUCGCUGAUCCUUUCGGUGUUUAGCGGCGCCAUUCUUUACCUAAAGAUGUUUGCCCUUCUGGCAUUCUUUAUAGCAAUGAUCCUAUUCUUUAUGGCUUGACAUCCAUGCAGUCAUCACCAAGGUAAUAGGGGCAUGUCAUUCAGACGUUUAUCCGAUUUCAUUUGAAACAUUUGGAUGCUGUUUGUUAUGGUUUCCUUACGUGUUGCUCUGGUGUCCUAUUAUUUAGUACUAUUGUUUACCAUUUGGUUAAUGUCAGUUGAGUCAACUACGGGAAUAGUGUUCUGUUAGACAAUUUACGGUCGUGGGUUAGUAUUCUGAUGGUUGUCUAUUUUUCAGCAAGUUUGUUUUUGUUGUUUUCAUUAUGUUGCACGUGGAUUCAUGGCAAUUAUGCCAGUAUUGUAUUUAAGCUGUGUUAACAAUAGAAAAAGGGAGAUUUAAUCACCCAAAUAUUUGGCUUAUUGUGGAGGUCGGGUUUCCUUGAAGAGACCCAAAGUUGUUCGUUGUUCUACUUUGUUUUUCUUACUCUGAUCCAUAUCAUUUGGUAUUAGAGCCUAGUUUCGAUCGACCCCAUGGCUGAAGGCAC